This 483-nucleotide ribosomal RNA is filed under the name uncultured bacterium. RNAcentral's name for it is "partial 16S ribosomal RNA". It matches the Rfam family "Bacterial small subunit ribosomal RNA", at positions 28 to 507 of the family's 1533-position model. The record is from RNAcentral.
GACGAACGCUGGCGGCGUGCUUAACACAUGCAAGUCGAACGCUGAAGCUCAGCUUUUGUUGGGUGGAUGAGUGGCGAACGGGUGAGUAACACGUGAGUAACCUGCCUCCUUCUUUGGGAUAACGCCCGGAAACGGGUGCUAAUACUGGAUAUUCACUGGUCUUCGCAUGGGGGUUGGUGGAAAGGAUUUUUCUGGUGGGGGAUGGGCUCGCGGCCUAUCAGCUUGUUGGUGGGGUGAUGGCCUACCAAGGCUUUGACGGGUAGCCGGCCUGAGAGGGUGACCGGUCACAUUGGGACUGAGAUACGGCCCAGACUCCUACGGGAGGCAGCAGUGGGGAAUAUUGCACAAUGGGCGCAAGCCUGAUGCAGCGACGCCGCGUGAGGGAUGGAGGCCUUCGGGUUGUGAACCUCUUUCGCUCAUGGUCAAGCCGCAACAAUGGUUGUGGUGAGGGUAGUGGGUAAAGAAGCGCCGGCUAACUACGUG